Odocoileus virginianus texanus is the source of this 2454-nucleotide non-coding RNA. The record is from RefSeq and is a predicted model, not a curated record. NCBI's taxonomy places the organism in Eukaryota, Metazoa, Chordata, Mammalia, Artiodactyla, Cervidae.
CACUGUCUUUUAGGGUGUGCUGGGGUCUAGGAUCCUGGGUCUUUGGAAUAAUCUGACCAGAGCUGGAAAGUCUACCUUCCCCAUGGGGAAUGAAGAGUCUCACCCAGGCUCUGAACCAACCUCUUAAAUAUGCAGUGCCCAGCUGAGGGCCAAGGGUAGGAGGGGCCUGCCCACUCCCAAUCUGAGGCUGACUGACCACCCCAGACCUUCCAUGUUCCCUGAAAAGCAACACUUCAGUCACAAGACCCCAGGAUACUGUCCUCUCCUCCCCGGUUAAAAGCACAUCCUCCAUAGCAGGAAAGCCCCUGUCAUAGAAUUCAGUCUUCCUGCAGUCCCGCCUCCCCAGCAGGGCCUCUUCCUUUACCUUAUGGGCCCCUCCCUGAGCCGUGAUCCCCAGGAGCACUCUUCCCCUUCACGCCUUACCCUCCUCCCUGUGAGCACCGGAGCUGAAGCCCCCAGCAUUCCUGCUGCCCAGCGCCACAGCUGGCUUUGGUGUGGGGAGCUUCCAUACCUGCUCUGCAGACAGAGGGGCCCCAUAGCUUCCCUUCAGCACACUUCCGCACUUCCUGGAGCAGCCUCUUUAUCUCCUUCUCCCACAUCAGUCCCCAAAGGGGUCUGAGGUCAGGUGCAUCAAGUCUUGAGAGAGACAUCUCCAGCUUUAAAAGUAAGACUUUUGGCAUGUUGGUAACUGGGAACUGUCAGAUCUAGUCUGUCCAUAGAGACAGAGUUGGAUGGGGGCUCCUGGAGUCCCGUUCCCAGGUCUGAGCCCACUUUGCUUACCUGCCCUGCCCCUCCCUCCUCAGCCAAAUAUGACUGGGCAAAGUCCUCUCUCUGUGACAACAUAUAUAGAAUUUGUGGAGGGAGUGGAGGAAAAUUUGUAUCUUUUUAUUUCCCAGAAAAGAAACAUGCAUUUGAUCAUGUCAGAAAGUGGGAGGAAAUGACAAAAUGGAUAAACACUGUAGAAUUUCUAAAUUAGCCAGGAGAAAGUAAAAAAUAAGGAAAGCAAAAAAAAGAAAAAGAGAGGAGAAGGGGAUACCCUUGGUAAAUGGUGAACUUAAAGUAGAAUGAAAGGAAUAAAAGGGAGACUAACAAUAUAGUUAUUAUGAAAUGUAAAUGGGCUGAGUUUCCCUGUUGAAAGACAGUAUGCAUUGAGUUAAAAAAAAAAAACCGUUAUAUGCUGUUGAACAAGAAAUACACUUAAAAUGCUUUCAAAAGGCUUGAAAAUUUUAAAGAAUGGUCAAAUGAAAAUAUAUAAACGAGAAAGCGUAAAUUGUAUCACUAAGAAGCUAGGCUGAAUAAAUUAUGUCACAAACUUAUUUACACCUAGGGAUACAGCUACUAAGUGUAUCAAGCAAAAACUACUAGCCAUGCAAUGAGAACUUGAUUUCUUUAAAUAUUUGUUAUGAUGGAAGAUAAGAAUUCGAUUGUUUAUUGUUCCAAAAGCAGAUAAGAUGAUCUUAGAAUUCAUGUGGGAGAGUAAAUGUCCAAAAUAGCUAAGAAAAUCACAUAAAGGAAGACAACUGAGGAAUUUCACGAGAUGUGGCAUAUUUUAUGAGAUGUAGCAUAAGUUUCUCAAGAAAGCUCCUGAAUGCCUGGGCUUGGGGCACAGAAAGGUCUGUGGAAGGACUCAGGCGGGGCGCUGCUGUGGAGAGGGUGACUCUGAGCAGAUCAGCUGAGGAUGCCACCAUCAGGAGGGAGACCAGGGUAGAGCGCACCCUGCUGGGUGCUCUGAUGGAGGGUGAGACCAGCAACAGGACAUGUAAAAUCUGCUAUGGCUCAGAUUUCCCUCUCUAGGAUUGGGGAACAUGCAGAGAAAUGUGAAUUGACUAACCAGUGUUUGAAUAUUCAUUCAAGAAACAGAUAAUACAGGCAGGAUACUGGCGAUGAUGUAGUUUUCCUUUGGCGGCAGCUACUGGACAAGACAUUUUCCUUUAAGAGCAUAUGUAAAUUUCAUGGCUCAGAUUUAAAGGUGUUGGAACUGACUGGGUCCUCUCAAAACCCAGUUUAUGGCCCAAAUUCACAGUUUCUCAGUUAUGUAUAGAUAUAUGUAUAAACAUAUAUAUAUUAUGAAAGAAACAUCUAUGUAGAAGAUCUAUCUAUAGCUAGAUAAUCUGUACAUAGGUAUAUACACACAUGUACAUACACAUGUAUAUACAUGUAUAUAUGUCAAUGAAACAUUUCCACAAAUGUUUUUUCAGGGCAUUGGAAGAAGGAGGAAAAAACUAAGAUAUGAAAAAAAAAAAAACCAAGAUAUGGUGCCUCCCUUAGAGAAAAGCACACUAUUGUUAGAGCAGUGGGGAAGGCUUACUGAUAAAUGUGAUUGGUUUCACCUAAGUUUCCUACCUAGAAGUGGAGCCACCGACAUGGUUACUAGAAGGACUCCACAAAACCUCCACCUAACCUUUCUUCCAUGAUUAAUUUAAAAAAAAAAAAAAAAAGUAGAGAUUGACUUGA